CCUACGGGUGGCAGCAGUGAGGAAUAUUGGUCAAUGGUCGCGAGACUGAACCAGCCAAGCCGCGUGCGGGAUGGAGGUACAGUGAAUUGUAAACCGCUUUUGUCAGGGAAUAAAGGCCGGUACGUGUCCCCGUCUGAGUGUACCUUACGAAUAAGGAUCGGCUAACUCCGUGCCAGCAGCCGCGGUAAUACGGAGGAUUCGAGCGUUAUCCGGAUUUAUUGGGUUUAAAGGGUGCGGAGGCGGUCGGAUCAGUUAGCGGUUCAAUCCCGGGGCUCAACCUCGGGACCGCCGUUGAGCCUGGCAGGCUCGAGUUGGCGGGAGGUAGGCGGAAUGCGCGGUGUAGCGGUGAAAUGCAUAGAUAUCGCGCAGAACUCCGAUUGCGAAGGCAGCAUGCCGGGUCCACACUGACGCUGAGGCACGAAAGCGUGGGUAUCGAACAGGAUUAGAUACCCUAGUAGUC
Molecule: ribosomal RNA, 460 nt
Filed under: uncultured bacterium
Lineage: Bacteria
Description: partial 16S ribosomal RNA
Rfam family: Bacterial small subunit ribosomal RNA
Source: RNAcentral